GUGCCAGCAGCCGCGGUAAGACAGAGGGGGCAAGCGUUGCUCGGAAUUACUGGGCGUAAAGGGCGCGUAGGCGGGACGGAAAGUCGGUCGUGAAAUCCUCCGGCUCAACCGGAGAACGGCGAUCGAUACUUCCGUUCUUGAGGGUUGCAGAGGAGACUGGAAUUCCCGGUGUAGCGGUGAAAUGUGUAGAGAUCGGGAGGAACACCGGUGGCGAAGGCGGGUCUCUGGGCAACUCCUGACGCUGAGGCGCGAAAGCGUGGGGAGCAAACGGGAUUAGAAACCCCCGUAGUCC
RNAcentral lists this ribosomal RNA (292 nucleotides) under uncultured bacterium. RNAcentral describes it as "partial 16S ribosomal RNA". It matches the Rfam family "Bacterial small subunit ribosomal RNA", at positions 505 to 796 of the family's 1533-position model. The record is from RNAcentral.